RNAcentral lists this long non-coding RNA (449 nucleotides) under Populus trichocarpa (black cottonwood). Its description in RNAcentral is "long non-coding RNA (PTRI_LNC004666)". Lineage: Eukaryota; Viridiplantae; Streptophyta; Magnoliopsida; Malpighiales; Salicaceae. The record is from RNAcentral.
UGAAAUUGAAAGGACAAAGAGAUGGGCAAACUUAGAAAAGAGAUGAUUGGUGUAGUCCAAACUUGAACACUGUUCGGUAAUCGGGUGAUAUCUGGAGCUGUAGAUCUUGGAUUUAGGUCCAUUUUAUAUGGAUGGAAAGAUAAGACAUAGGCCUACAAAUUUCAUGUGGAGCCCAAGAUUUAAAAAGGCCGUUUUCAAGUCCAAAUUGCAGCAACAACAAAGAAGUCCGAAUCUGUCCUGCAGCCCAGACACUGUUUAGUGUUCAGCCCAUAUCUCGAGUUCUAGAAGUCCAAAUGAUCUCAAAUUUUUACCCUGGAAAGAUGAGACAAUUCUCUAGAACUCUCAUGAUUGAAGUUUGUUCAGAUUAUGACGUCAUCAAUGACGUUUUUGGCAGACAAGAAGAUAAGGAUUGUCACCAAGUCAAGAUGUGGCCACCCACUCAUCAAUUA